CCUACGGGAGGCAGCAGUGAGGAAUAUUGGUCAAUGGACGAGAGUCUGAACCAGCCAAGUAGCGUGAAGGAUGACUGCCCUAUGGGUUGUAAACUUCUUUUAUAAAGGAAUAAAACGAGGCACGUGUGCCGUUUUGCAUGUACUUUAUGAAUAAGGAUCGGCUAACUCCGUGCCAGCAGCCGCGGUAAUACGGAGGAUCCGAGCGUUAUCCGGAUUUAUUGGGGUUAAAGGGAGCGUAGAUGGGUUGUUAAGUCAGUUGUGAAAGUUUGCGGCUCAACCGUAAAAUUGCAAUUGAUACUGGCAGUCUUGAGUACAGUUGAGGUAGGCGGAAUUCGUGGUGUAGCGGUGAAAUGCUUAGAUAUCACGAAGAACCCCGAUUGCGAAGGCAGCUUACUAAACUGUGACUGACAUUGAUGCUCGAAAGUGUGGGUAUCAAACAGGAUUAGAUACCCUAGUAGUC
This 460-nucleotide ribosomal RNA is filed under the name uncultured bacterium. RNAcentral describes it as "partial 16S ribosomal RNA". It matches the Rfam family "Bacterial small subunit ribosomal RNA", at positions 338 to 795 of the family's 1533-position model. The record is from RNAcentral.